CAGCUGUACCAGACGACCGCUCCGAUGGCGUCGCAAGGCGCCGCAUCGGAGAGGAAAGUCCGAACACCAGCCUUCUAGGCAAUCGUGCGAUCGCGCUUGGAAGGCAGCACGUAGCGGGUAACGCCCGCCAGGGUAACUCCCAGAGGUGCGAACAGUGACGCUUGCGAGCGAAAGCGAGCAAGCGCCCCGAACUGCCGCAAGGCAGCAUCGGGGCGAGCUCUUGCAGAGAUGCGAGAGGUGCAACGGCAAAAUCCUUACGUUGGUGCAAGAUCGUGUCCCGAUAUGGGCUCGCGCCCAUUCGGGAAGAAUCGCUCGAGGUCGGCCGUAAGGCUGAUCCUAGAUAUAUGGUCGUCGCUCCCGGUGAAAGCCGGGAAGACAGAAUUCGGCUUACGGUACGGCAACAUG
Molecule: RNase P RNA, 405 nt
Filed under: Patescibacteria group bacterium
Lineage: Bacteria
Description: RNase P RNA component class A
Rfam family: Bacterial RNase P class A
About the family: Ribonuclease P (RNase P) is a ubiquitous endoribonuclease, found in archaea, bacteria and eukarya as well as chloroplasts and mitochondria. Its best characterised activity is the generation of mature 5'-ends of tRNAs by cleaving the 5'-leader elements of precursor-tRNAs.
Source: RNAcentral